RNAcentral lists this microRNA (22 nucleotides) under Oreochromis niloticus (Nile tilapia). Its description in RNAcentral is "oni-miR-10720". The record is from miRBase by way of RNAcentral. Lineage: Eukaryota; Metazoa; Chordata; Actinopteri; Cichliformes; Cichlidae.
AGUGACUGAGCCUGUAAAGACA